This 422-nucleotide long non-coding RNA is filed under the name Pongo abelii (Sumatran orangutan). RNAcentral describes it as "lincRNA". Lineage: Eukaryota; Metazoa; Chordata; Mammalia; Primates; Hominidae. The record is from RNAcentral.
CCGCCCAGUCGCCAGGGAGAGUGAAUACAGCUAGGGACGUGAAAGAACGGGGAAGAUAACUGAAGGGUGGUUUGAGAAACCCACCAGGCCAACUGGGAAUUAGAAUUGAUUCAAAACUCUGUUGAUCGCCUGACCUCCAUAAGCUCCUACUCUGCUGCAGUUAGUUGAGUGCUGCCACUUAAAUCCUGCAGUCCCGAGAUCCGGUUAUAACCAAUGCAUUUAGAUUUUUCAUUUCGGUGGCAACAAUCUUCAUCGUAAGUUCUGUCCUACAGAGAAGUGUGGUGAUCAAGCUCUUCGGAGAUACUGGGACUCCUCUCACAAAUGUAUGUCUCACAGUUAUGAUGAAUGGUGUAUCUCCUGGAUCUUCCUCAAUUGAGGAUGUUUUAAAUGAAAAAUACACUUUAUCAUUCAAAUCUUUCAAA